CAAUCCUCUGCCCUCCGAAAUCCUAGGGAUAGGGAUGGCAAUUCAGCUCGCUGUUCACGAGGCAACUCGUAUUUGGCUCGAAAUGAGCUCGAGAUCGAAUUACUUGUUUAGUAAAUGAGGCCAACACGAGCCGAAUUUUUCUGCUCGUUUAAUAAACGAGCCAAACACGAGCUGGGAUCAGCUCGCUUGUGUUCGACUCGAUAACAGCUUGAAUACAUAUAUUUUAUAUUUAUAUAAUUUAUUUAAUUUAUAUUUUUAUGUAUAAAUAUAUAAUAUAUAUUUUUAUUAUUUAAUUUUUAGCAAAAAAAAUAUAUAUAAAUGCGAGCUCAAUUAUAAAAAGAUUCAUUUAUAUAUAAAAUUUCAACUAUUAGAUUAAAGUCUAAUGAAUAAAAUUUUAUAAAUUUAUUUUUUAUAUAUAUUCAAUCUAAUCCUUUUUAAUUUAUUGUUCGUUAGUCAGCUCGUGAGCCUGCUCGUGUUCGCCUCGUUGUUUAUUAACGAGCCGAACACGAGCUAAACUUUUCAGCUCGAUCCUUUAACGAGCCAGCUCAU
RNAcentral lists this long non-coding RNA (549 nucleotides) under Ananas comosus (pineapple). Its description in RNAcentral is "long non-coding RNA (ACOM_LNC007561)". Lineage: Eukaryota; Viridiplantae; Streptophyta; Magnoliopsida; Poales; Bromeliaceae. The record is from RNAcentral.